GUUCGAGCGUCAUUACACCACUCAAGCUCUGCUUGGUAUUGGGCGUCGCGGUCCCCGCGUGCCUUAAUGUCGUCGGCCGGUGCGCCCGUCUCUAAGCGUUGUGAACUUCAGUUCGCUUGCGAGGCCGGGGGUGCUGUGCCGUUAAGCACACCAUUUAACAGGUUGACCUCGGAUCAGGUAGGGAUACCCGCUGAACUUAA
Molecule: unclassified non-coding RNA, 200 nt
Filed under: soil metagenome
Description: partial contains internal transcribed spacer 2 and large subunit ribosomal RNA
Source: RNAcentral